UACGGAGGGAGCUAGCGUUGUUCGGAAUUACUGGGCGUAAAGCGUGCGCAGGCGGUUUUGUAAGCCGGAUGUGAAAUCCCCGGGCUUAACCUGGGAAUGGCAUUCGGGACUGCAAGGCUGGAGUGCGGCAGAGGAGACUGGAAUUCCUGGUGUAGCAGUGAAAUGCGUAGAUAUCAGGAGGAACACCGAUGGCGAAGGCAGGUCUCUGGGCCACUACUGACGCUGAGAAGCGAAAGCAUGGGGAGCGAACAGG
RNAcentral lists this ribosomal RNA (253 nucleotides) under uncultured bacterium. RNAcentral describes it as "partial 16S ribosomal RNA". It matches the Rfam family "Bacterial small subunit ribosomal RNA", at positions 524 to 776 of the family's 1533-position model. The record is from RNAcentral.